GACGAACGCUGGCGGCGUGCUUAACACAUGCAAGUCGAACGGAAAGGCCCUGCGUUUGUUUGGUGCUCGUUUGGCGCGCGGGGGAGUAACACGUGAGUAACCUGCCCUUGACUGUGGGAUAACUUCAGGAAACUGGGGCUAAUACCGGGUAGGAGCUCCUGCUGCAUGGUGUUGGUUGGUAAGUUUCGGCGGUUGGGGAUGGACUCGCUGCUUAUCAGCUUGUUGGUGGGGUAGUUGCUUACCAAGGUUUUGACGGGUAGCCCGCCUGAGAGGGUGAACGGGCACCAUGGGACUGCGAGACGCACCAGACUGGUAUGGGAGGCAGCAGGGGGGAAUCUUGCACAAUGGGGGGAAGCGUGUGGCAGCAGCGCCGCGUGCGGGAUGCCGGCCUUCGGGUUGAAAACAGAUGUCGAAGGUGAUGAAGACUGAGUGACGGUACUGGGUAAAGAAGCAACGGCUAACUACGUG
RNAcentral lists this ribosomal RNA (468 nucleotides) under uncultured bacterium. RNAcentral's name for it is "partial 16S ribosomal RNA". It matches the Rfam family "Bacterial small subunit ribosomal RNA", at positions 28 to 507 of the family's 1533-position model. The record is from RNAcentral.